Molecule: ribosomal RNA, 325 nt
Filed under: Staphylococcus aureus
Lineage: Bacteria; Bacillati; Bacillota; Bacilli; Caryophanales; Staphylococcaceae
Description: partial 23S ribosomal RNA
Rfam family: Bacterial large subunit ribosomal RNA
Source: RNAcentral
UAAGUAAGCUUUGAUCCAGAGAUUUCCGAAUGGGGAAACCCAGCAUGAGUUAUGUCAUGUUAUCGAUAUGUGAAUACAUAGCAUAUCAGAAGGCACACCCGGAGAACUGAAACAUCUUAGUACCCGGAGGAAGAGAAAGAAAAUUCGAUUCCCUUAGUAGCGGCGAGCGAAACGGGAAGAGCCCAAACCAACAAGCUUGCUUGUUGGGGUUGUAGGACACUCUAUACGGAGUUACAAAGGACGACAUUAGACGAAUCAUCUGGAAAGAUGAAUCAAAGAAGGUAAUAAUCCUGUAGUCGAAAAUGUUGUCUCUCUUGAGUGGAUC